This is a small nuclear RNA of Oryctolagus cuniculus (rabbit), 189 nucleotides long. Its record names the gene U2. It matches the Rfam family "U2 spliceosomal RNA". Rfam says of the family: U2 is a small nuclear RNA (snRNA) component of the spliceosome (involved in pre-mRNA splicing). Complementary binding between U2 snRNA (in an area lying towards the 5' end but 3' to hairpin I) and the branchpoint sequence (BPS) of the intron results the bulging out of an unpaired adenosine, on the BPS, which initiates a nucleophilic attack at the intronic 5' splice site, thus starting the first of two transesterification reactions that mediate splicing. NCBI's taxonomy places the organism in Eukaryota, Metazoa, Chordata, Mammalia, Lagomorpha, Leporidae. The record is from Ensembl.
AUUGCUGCUUAGCCUUUUGUCUAAGAUCAAGUGUAGUAUCUGCUUUUAUCAGUUUAAUCUCUGUACCAAAUUCUUAACUAUUAUAGCUAUAUACAAGAGUUGACAAUGGUGUGGCAGGUCCUUCUUCACUGACCUUCUAUUUCCAUAGUUUUCUGAGCUAUUCCACUGAUUUUUAUAAGACAUUUUAUC